GACGAACGCUGGCGGCGUGCUUAACACAUGCAAGUCGAGCGGUAAGGCCCUUUCGGGGGUACACGAGCGGCGAACGGGUGAGUAACACGUGGGUGACCUGCCCUCAGCUCUGGGAUAAGCCUGGGAAACCGGGUCUAAUACCGGAUAUGACUCCAUGACGCAUGUUGUGGGGUGGAAAGCCUUGUGCGGCUGAGGAUGGGCCCGCGGCCUAUCAGCUUGUUGGUGGGGUGAUGGCCUACCAAGGCGACGACGGGUAGCCGGCCUGAGAGGGCGACCGGCCACACUGGGACUGAGACACGGCCCAGACUCCUACGGGAGGCAGCAGGUGGGGUAAUUUUGCGCAAGUGGGCGAAAGCCUGACGCAGCGACGCCGCGUGAGGGAUGA
This 385-nucleotide ribosomal RNA is filed under the name uncultured bacterium. RNAcentral's name for it is "bacterial SSU rRNA". It matches the Rfam family "Bacterial small subunit ribosomal RNA", at positions 28 to 411 of the family's 1533-position model. The record is from RNAcentral.